UUUUUUUUUUUGCAUUUCUUGUCUCUUCUUCUCUAGCAAUCUCUCGUCUCCUCCUCUCUCACUAUCUCUUCAAUCCUCAUCUCACGAUCUCUCAAACUUGCUGUCUGUCGUCACGGAUUUAAGCUCACCACCUCUGCUCAAGUCUGGAAACCAUGACCCCUCGCCUCCUCCCCUUGAUCUGGAAUAAUGAUGACAUAAAGGAGGUAAUGAUGAUCCAGAGACAGAGGCGGCGGCCGACGUACAAAGAGGUUGAAGACGGCGGGGAGUUACGAAGACGACGGGCGAUGCACAAAAAGAGGCCUACGAAGUCAUAAUGGAAGAGGAAGGGUAAGCUAGCUGUAGUGAUGGAGGUAGAUUCAAGCAAGAAGAGAAGAGAGGCGGGCAAGAGAAGAAGAAGAAGAGAGGCGGAGAAAGAACGUAGACUAGGUUUUAGUUUUAGGUUUAGCUUUUCAAUUUUUCUUUAAAAAAUUGGUUUAGUUUAGUUUACUUUCAUGUAUCGGUAUAAAAGAAUUGAUAUAUAAAAUUUUAAAUUUUUUUUCUUA
Molecule: long non-coding RNA, 542 nt
Organism: Brassica napus (rape)
Lineage: Eukaryota; Viridiplantae; Streptophyta; Magnoliopsida; Brassicales; Brassicaceae
Exons: 2
Source: RefSeq, a predicted model, not a curated record